RNAcentral lists this non-coding RNA (24 nucleotides) under Arabidopsis thaliana (thale cress). The record is from RNAcentral. Lineage: Eukaryota; Viridiplantae; Streptophyta; Magnoliopsida; Brassicales; Brassicaceae.
UCAAAUUGGAGACGGUUGGCCAGA